This 496-nucleotide ribosomal RNA is filed under the name uncultured bacterium. RNAcentral describes it as "partial 16S ribosomal RNA". It matches the Rfam family "Bacterial small subunit ribosomal RNA", at positions 29 to 507 of the family's 1533-position model. The record is from RNAcentral.
AUGAACGCUGGCGGCGUGCCUAAUACCUGCAAGUCGAGCGAACAGACGAGGAGCUUGCUCCUCUGACGUUAGCGGCGGACGGGUGAGUAACACGUGGAUAACCUACCUAUAAGACUGGGAUAACUUCGGGAAACCGGAGCUAAUACCGGAUAAUAUAUUGAACCGCAUGGUUCAAUAGUGAAAGACGGUUUUGCUGUCACUUAUAGAUGGAUCCGCGCCGCAUUAGCUAGUUGGUAAGGUAACGGCUUACCAAGGCAACGAUGCGUAGCCGACCUGAGAGGGUGAUCGGCCACACUGGAACUGAGACACGGUCCAGACUCCUACGGGAGGCAGCAGUAGGGAAUCUUCCGCAAAGGGCGAAAGCCUGACGGAGCAACGCCGCGUGAGUGAUGAGGGUCUUCGGAUCGUAAAACUCUGUUAUUAGGGAAGAACAAAUGUGUAAGUAACUAUGCACGUCUUGACGGUACCUAAUCAGAAAGCCACGGCUAACUACGUG